UUUUAGUGGAUGACUGUGGUAUAAAUGACUAUGGAUCCCAGACGUACAGAUGUAAACAGCUACCAGGUGGACCUAAUGUAGCUCUUAAUAAACCAUCCACAGACAGUUCAUCGUUCUUCGGAAAAACCUUGGCGAGUUGGGCUAAUGACGGUGUUGUACAAACUUCCGGUCACGAGUGUCAACAUACGCAUUAUGAUGACAGCAACCCCUGGUGGCAAGUUGAUUUACAGGCCACAUAUAAUAUUACCAGUGUUACCAUUGCUAACAGAUUCGAAUAUAAGGAAGAUCGCUUGAGGAAUACGAGUAUCCUAGUCUAUGAAACCGAACCAUCAACAUCAACACCAUUUACAUUAUGUAAAUUUAUACCUGGAGAAUUUGGUCGUACUAUUCGUACCAUAGAAUGUGAUGGAGUAACUAUUGGUCAAUGGGUUAGAAUUACAAAACCUACCAUCUAUUUAACUCUAUGUGAAGUUGAAGUCACGGGAACACUAAUUUAAAGAGGGUGGUCAGGGAGAACGCUAAAAAAAAAGAAAGAAAUUGCGCUUUGAUAUAUACACUUCAAAAAAAAAGUAGGGGAUAUUCAGAAACAAUACAAAACUGCGGAAAUGCACUGCUAUUUUUAUUAGAGGUAACCAGUGUAUGUUAAUAACAGGUCAAUUGCCUACACAUGAACAUAAACAGUUCAUAUUGGCGGGUUAUCUGACGGCCAGGUUUCACUCGCAAAGAGAUACACUGUCAAAUGUGAAAAUGGACGUUUUUGUUUUUGUCUUAAUAAUGAGUAAUUGCUCCACCAAUCCUCAGACAUUCAGCAAUUCGUCGUGGCAUGCUCCUAAUCAACCGUCCAAUCACGAUUUGGGGCAAUCUGACCCACUCCUCUUGCAGUGACACGGCCAAUUCUUCCAGUGUUGACGUUGACGUCGACGAACACGUCUCCCGGUCACGUUCCAGAAUGCUCUACAGAGGAAAGGCUUGUGUAGUGGCUCUAGGACGACCUGAACGAGGUCUAUCAUCAACAUUGUGUGUUUGUUGGUACCGGUUCCACAGUCUGUUGAUCACAGACUGUGACACAUUAAGCAUGUUGGCUACCGCUCAAUGUGUAGAACCAAUUUGAAGCAUGCCAAUAGCAUGUAGACGUUCAUCGUGUUGAAGACGUCUCAUUGCAAAUUAAACGUAACACACUAACGCAAAGAUAAGCUUAACAGUAAUCUUAUGCAAGAACCGAUAGGAAAGCAAACAUGGAUAGGAUAAACCAGCACGAGGCAGUUUUUAUCAACCCUUCCUUGAAGUGUCAAAUUUGACAAUCGCACGCGCAGCUCAGUGGUUCUGUUUGAGCGAUAAGUUCUUCAUCUGUGAACAUACUCUCAAAGCAUGUUAAGUGUCCAUGACUAUCAUAUCACAACCUGCAUAGGUAUUUGCAUUUCAAUAUCCCCUACUUUUUUUAAGAGUAUAUAUAAGAGCAAAAGAAGGACAUUUUAAAAAUCAUCUCUGGAAAUAAUAUUUACGAUUAACAUUUAGUUUGGAAUCGUUAUUCGGGAUUCGGCAAUAAAACUAGACCGGCUUACCUUUCAUUCCAUCAUUUUCUCGCUCUGACAGUAGGGGUAAGUGAACGUGGGGUGGUCGACUAGCAAGGAAUGAAGUAAGAUCUGACUCUGACAGUAGGGGUAAAUGAACAUGGGGUGGUUGACUAGGAAGAGAUGUAGUAAUUUGACCUGGCUCUGACAGUAUGGGUAAGUGAACAUGGGGUGGUUGACUAGCAAGAAAUGAAGUAAUUUGACCUGACUCUGACAGUAGGGGUAAGUGAACGUGGGGUGGUCGACUAGCAAGGGAUGAAGUAAUUUGACUGAAAUUUCUAACAUGUUUCAACUAUCAGCUCUUUAUCUAAAUCUUGCAUUUUGCAUAUUUAAUGAACCAAACUUGCAAAUAUGGACUUUUGCUCUGCAAUCGUCCCGUAACUGUUCUACACGUGUUGGCGUUGGCAUCAGAAUUAGUGUGUGAACAACUCGACACCUGGUAUGUAACAGGUUGGUUACACCUGGCGUCAGGUAAUUAAACUUUCAAGUAUAUAUAUUUUAAUUGAGAUAUCUGGCCGCCAUUUUCAUUAAUUUGUAAAAUCUCCAUCACCUUCAUCCAAGCACCAAUCUGAUUAAAACACAGAUCCUAUUUCGUUUCGUUUUUUAUAGUUCAAAAUUUCGUUUUGCUUGUCUUUACUACACUAGGAUCUGGAAGAGUUGUUAUAUUACCGGCGUUCUCAUUGAAGUGAGAGAUUAGCCAAUGAAACGGUCUGUUACAGUGAGUUUUUGGCGUUUGAUGCACGGAACUGCCACUACAACCGGUCAGAUCUUCAUAUACAGUAGGCCAUUGAAAGUAUAAAAAAGCGAAACGAAAUAUAGAUCUGUACUUUAAUCAGAUUGUCAAAACAAUUCACAUUUACAAAGUUUAAUUAGAAUGAAUAGUUAUUUAAAUUUGAAAAUCUGUUAAAUAGAUUGAGAGACGGGGAGAUUUAUGGUAAAUUCUUUGUUAAGAGAAAUCUUGUUUUUAACCAAUUUAGGAAUCUUUUCAUAAUAAUUAUUGGAAAAGGGACUAUAUGCCACUAAAGGAUUAUGUUCAACAUCAGUAUGGAGACGAGACAGUUAAGGGUGGGCGUCAGCUUAGUAAACUAGAAGGGGAAUAUAUUCAAGUCUUUAAUACAUAGACCCACAAGUUUACUAAAUGUCAUUGUGCUUGCAUAACGAUAAGAGGAUACUUAUCGAAACGUCGUGCUUGUGUAUAAUAAAACAGUGAUUGUUGUCCCGUAUAACUGUGUUAGUUCUGUGUUAGUUUCCAAUCGCUAAAUGCCACUAAAUGAAAUGAAAUGAAAUGGAGUUUAACGUCCUACUGUUCUGCUCCUAACCUGGGCUAAUGAAGACGGGCAUACGCCAUACAGUGUGCUAUGAGGGAAAUUUUGCCCGGACAGCGGCACUACGGCCUACUCUUAUAUCGAAUUCCAACUGCCAAGGGAUCUUUUACGUGCACGCCAAUGUGUACACGGGACCUCGGUUUUUCGUCCCAUCCGAACGACUAGAUAGCUUUCCUUGUCAGGCCCUCCGUCCUGCAUCACUGACAAGGGGAAACCACGCCGGAAAAUCUGGAUGAACUUUCUCGGCCAAUGCAGGGAUCGAACACCCGACCUCCAGGCUAGCGAGCUAGCGUCUUACCCACUUAGCCACGUGAUCCCCUAAAUGCCACUAAAGGAUUAAGUUUAAUAUCAUCAGUGACAUUGGAAAAAUAAUUAUUCAUAAUAUAAGCAGCACUAUCAGUUAAAUCAUCAUAUCCUUUAUCAUCUGAUUCAUUAGACAAAUCGUUUAUUUCUCUUAGCAUUGUUAAAACAUUUCCAGAUAAGUUUUAAAUAUUUGUUGUUAUCUUGAAUGGUAGUUUUGAUAUAUUUAGGAUUAGAACUUGUUGUUAUUUUUUUUUUAUUUUGUUUCGCCAGAGUUUGCAGUUGAUAUGAUUCUCUUGCUUUUCGAGCGUUAUUGAUUUUCAAAUUAAACCAUUCUGCUUUUUUAUUCGUUUUCGUUUUGUGGGCGCAUGCAGAUUAAGAAUAGCAUUAAACAAUUUAUUCCUUACUUCUAAUGCUAUAUUUAGGUUAUCUAGACUCUCAAUAUCUGAAAAGCUUUGAAGAGAAAGAUCAUUUUAAAAUAUUAUACCAUUUUAGACUGGAGGCAGAUAGCUAUGGUAUGAGUUUAUUUAAAAAAGCAAAUUAAAUCGUUUAUGAAAUAUUGUAGUGAGAAUAACAGGAAAUUGGGUCUAAAGAUAAAUUCCUACUGUCCAUUUAAGGAUAGAGCUAACGUCAUUAAGCACGAGAGUCAAUCAUUCAUUAUAUUUGGCCAAUCAAACAACAAACCAAAAAACCAAAGGGUAGAAAACCAUCAGGGCUGUGGGCGAUUGGCAGGCAUCAGACAGAUUCUUAGAAGGGAAGAUGUAGCAAUUUCUAUAAGCACGCUUGCUGUGGCGAUUUCGGUGGUCUUGA
Patella vulgata (common limpet) is the source of this 4006-nucleotide long non-coding RNA. RefSeq lists it as uncharacterized. Lineage: Eukaryota; Metazoa; Mollusca; Gastropoda; Patellidae. The record is from RefSeq and is a predicted model, not a curated record. The transcript is spliced from 3 exons.